CGGGGUGCAGCAGGCGCGAAAACUCCACAAUGCGCGAAAGCGUGAUGGGGUUAACCCGAGUGCCGUCCGAUGAGGAUGGCUUUUCUUCAGUUUAAGGAUCUGGAGGAAUAAAGGGGGGGCAAGACUGGUGUCAGCCGCCGCGGUAAUACCAGCCCCCUGAGUGGUAGGGACGAUUAUUUGGCCUAAAGCGUCCGUAGCCUGUUUGGGAAGUCUUUCGUUAAAUCCGACGAUUCCAUCGUUGGGACGCGGAAGAUACUGCCAGACUUGAGGACGGGAGAGGUCGACGGUAGUCCUAGGGUAGGGGUGAAAUCCUAUAAUCCUAGGAGGACCACCAGUGGCGAAGGCGGUCGACUAGAACGUGCCUGACGGUGAUGGACGAAAGCUGGGGGAGCGAACCGGAUUAGACACCCGGGUAGUCCCAGCUGUAAACGAUGCGAGCUAGGUGUUGGAGCAACUACGAGUUGCUCCAGUGCCGCAGAGAAGUUGUUAAGCUCGCCGCCUGGGAAGUACGGCCGCAAGGCUGAAACUUAAAGGAAUUGGCGGGGGAGCAC
RNAcentral lists this ribosomal RNA (551 nucleotides) under uncultured archaeon. RNAcentral describes it as "bacterial SSU rRNA". It matches the Rfam family "Archaeal small subunit ribosomal RNA", at positions 326 to 879 of the family's 1478-position model. The record is from RNAcentral.